Molecule: non-coding RNA, 30 nt
Filed under: Mus musculus (house mouse)
Lineage: Eukaryota; Metazoa; Chordata; Mammalia; Rodentia; Muridae
Source: RNAcentral
UCCCAUGUUGCCAAAACAAUUCCUCAGUGU